Molecule: ribosomal RNA, 440 nt
Filed under: uncultured bacterium
Lineage: Bacteria
Description: partial 16S ribosomal RNA
Rfam family: Bacterial small subunit ribosomal RNA
Source: RNAcentral
CCUACGGGUGGCAGCAGUGGGGGAUAUUGCACAAUGGGGGAAACCCUGAUGCAGCGACGCCGCGUGUUGGCAGACGGUCCUCUGCAUUGUAAACCACUGUCCCCAGGGACGCAGAUGACGGUACCUGGGGAGGAAGCUCCGGCUAACUACGACCCAGCAGCCGCGGUAAUAAGUAGGGCGCAAGCGUUGUCCGGAAUUACGGGUGGUAAAGGGAGCGUAGGCGGGAUGGCAAGUUGUGUGUUAAAUCUACCGGCUCAACUGGGAGACGCACUCAAAACUGCUAGUCUGGAGUGAAGUAGAGGCAGGCGGAAUGCCUAGUGUAGCGGUGAAAUGCGUAGAUAUUAGGAGGAACACCAGUGGCGAAGGCGGCCUGCUGGGCUUUUACUGACGCUGAGGCUCGAAAGUGUGGGGAGCAAACAGGAUGAGAUACCCCAGUAGUC